Molecule: ribosomal RNA, 253 nt
Filed under: uncultured bacterium
Lineage: Bacteria
Description: partial 16S ribosomal RNA
Rfam family: Bacterial small subunit ribosomal RNA
Source: RNAcentral
UACGAAGGGGGCUAGCGUUGUUCGGAUUUACUGGGCGUAAAGGGCGCGUAGGCGGAUAGCUAAGUCAGGGGUGAAAUCCCGAGGCUCAACCUCGGCACUGCCUUUGAUACUGGUUGUCUUGAGUCCGGGAGAGGUGAGUGGAACUGCGAGUGUAGAGGUGAAAUUCGUAGAUAUUCGCAAGAACACCAGUGGCGAAGGCGGCUCACUGGCCCGGAACUGACGCUGAGGCGCGAAAGCGUGGGGAGCAAACAGG